Molecule: ribosomal RNA, 824 nt
Filed under: uncultured bacterium
Lineage: Bacteria
Description: bacterial SSU rRNA
Rfam family: Bacterial small subunit ribosomal RNA
Source: RNAcentral
CCGGAUUUAUUGGGUUUAAAGGGUGCGUAGGCGGCUUUGUAACUCAGCGGUGAAACUUUGCACCUUAACUGUCGGGCGCCGUUGAUACUGUGAAGCAAGGUUUUGGUUGCUGUGGGCGGAAUGUGUGGACUAGCGGUGAAAUGCAUAUAGAUCACACAGAAUAUCGAUUGCCAAGGCUGCUCAUGGCUUUAUAUUGACGCUUGGCUCCCAAAGUGUGGGGUCUCAACAGGAUUACCUUCCCUGGUAGUCCGCACUGCAAACGAUGAUAACUCUCUGUACUUGAUAGACCCCCGGUGGUCAAGCGAAUUCGAUAAGUUAUCCACCUGGGGAGUACGACCUCAAUGAUGAAACUCAAAGGAAUUGACUGGGGUCCGCACAAGCGGAAGAACAUGUGGUUUAAUUCGAUGAUACACGAGGAACCUUACCCCCUGUCGAACUGUGCAUGAAUAAUACAGAGAUGGGAUUACCCCUUCGUGACAUGUAUGUCAGGUGCUGCAUGGGUGUCUUCCCGCUCCUGCCGAGAGGAGUCCGCGUAACUGCCAUUAGCGAGCGCCACCCGUCGACAUUAUUUGACCAUCAAGUCUAGCUGCGGGUACUCUACUGAGACUGCCACCGUAAGGGUGUAGAUGAAGGGGCGGGAUGACGUCAAAUCACCCACGGCCCUUUAUGACCUCGGCGACACACGUGUUCACACUGGGGAAGUACAAAACGGCAUGCGAAUCAAUGAUAACCGCCGCCAUCCUCGAAAAACUUUGGCCAGUAAGGACUGCGAUUCUCCCACGUCGUUUCCCCUGGAGGUCGAUAACUAGAAUCCCCGCAUAAGA